GGCUUCCUGGUCUGGCUGCUAACUGGGUUUUAGUAAGAGAGAAAGACAGGGGUAGAUAGCAGAGUGAGAGGGAGGUCAGAAGUGAGUUUUAGGGAUGAGAGUGAAAAGGAUGAGUGGUGAGAGGGGAAUACAGGAGAGAUAGGAAACGUGGGCAGCAAGAAGAGAAUGUGUUGUCCAGGGGUUUAACAAUGUGGAUUCUACAGAGGGAUUACUCACCCUGCAUUACUCAAUCCCACACACAUUACUGCCCAGAGACGCAGCAAAACUCACACUGUGCUCAGCGGAGACUGGAACAUCGCACAUCGCAUCAAGCUUAUCCCUGGGGGAGAGGAAGUGCUACUAAUGGAACAGUACACUGAGUUUGUGGUGAUCGCGCUGUUUGAGAAGGGGACGUUUGUAUUCUUAUAGGCUGUUGUGCUAGAGAGGACAUUGCAAGAGGCACACAAACACUUUAACAGAACCAAAGCGCAUCAGGAAACGCAUUGAAACCCGACGCUAAUAUACACACACUUCAGUGUUCGUUUUUUAAAGGAACAAGAAAGAUAUAAGAAGCUACAACCAACACAAGAUGGACGGGAACAAGCCACUCUACACCGCCAACGACAGCUGCCGCUUCGACGAGGAGUUUAAAUACAUCCUGCUGCCGCUUUCCUACGGGAUAGUGUGCGUGGUGGGGCUGGUGCUGAACUCCGUGGCUCUGUGGAUGUUUCUGUGUAAGAUGCGCCCGUGGAAGCCCAGCACCGUGUACAUGUUCCACCUGGCCGUCUCGGACACGCUGUACGUGCUCUCGCUGCCCACGCUGGUGUAUUACUACGGCAACCGGAGCCACUGGCCCUUCGGGGAGUGGAUGUGCAAGCUCGUGCGCUUCCUCUUUUACGCCAACCUGUACUGCAGCAUCCUGUUUCUCACCUGCAUCAGCGUGCACCGCUACCUGGGCACCUGCCACCCCAUCUUCUUCCUCAAGCUGGUUAAAGCACGCCAUGCCCACGUGGUGUGUUUCCUAGUGUGGGGUGCCGUGAUGGUGUGCCUUAUCCCCAAUCUGAUCUUUGUGACCAUCAGCACCAGGGACAACGACACGCUGUGUCACGACACCACGCGGCCGGAAGAUUUCCAUCAGUACGUCAGCUACAGCUCAGCCGUUAUGACCCUGCUAUUCGGCCUCCCGUUCCUUGUGAUUGUGGUCUGCUAUUGUCAGAUGGCCCGGAAGCUGUGCCAGCCCAGGAUGGGGCUACAGUCCCGCCAGCAGGGCGCGCCCAAUUCCCGGAGGAAGGCUAUCAAGCUGAUCAUCGUGGUCCUUGUGGUCUUUGCCCUCUCCUUCGUCCCCUUCCACAUCACGCGCACCCUCUACUACACCUUCCGCGUGCUGGACGCCGACUGUGUGACUCUCAACUACGUCAACUUCGCCUACAAAAUCACCCGGCCCCUAGCCAGCGUCAACAGCUGCAUAGACCCCAUCCUGUACUUCCUGGCAGGGGAUCAGUACCGUGCCAAGCUGGCGAGCGCCUGCACCAAGAAACCUCGCUUCUCCACAAUCUCACUGAUGUCGCACAAACGGCUCAACAGCAGCCUGGCCGUGGCCUGCAACAACCAGGACUCUGCCUGCACAGUAACCUGAACUGGAGCAGAAGGACACUGGGGUUUCCACUUUGACACUGUCACCAGACGCCCUGUUCAGCAGGACCACCCACAGCUGGAGGCAGGCACUGUAACUUAAUGUGUCCCAGUCCUCAGCCCUUUUCUAAAGGACAAUGAUGCAGCCUAGCGGCUAGAGGAACCGUAGUGCGGCACAAUCGAGACACCAUUGCUAAGGGCAGCUCUGACCUGAGCAAGACGACAAUAGGACAGAUCACUAUCGACUGGAACAGAGGUGGGUGACGGCACUCCGGGACCAUGUAGUGGCCACGCAUUCCCAUUGACAGACCCUGCUUUAUCAAAACCACGGAUAGGGAUUAGACAAAAAAUUAGAGCCACCUGCCAUAUGCAACACACACUUUUACUUUAAAGGGCCGUCUCUCGGCCUCACAAGACUGAUCAACCACAAUCGACUUUAUUUCCACCGCUGUUUCAUUUUUAUUUGACAUCAUGUUUAACGUUAUGACCCUGGGCAUGCUCAGGGUUCUAAGUUGGAGCUUUUAACCUCAUCUUACUGACAGGGGAUAUGACAGCGUAUCUCACAUCACUGCCUGUUCCCAUAUAUUUUGAUCAAAUAAAGCUGGAUAUCCACAAAGUGGUUGGCGUCUUUAACUAACGUCAUUCAGUCAGUCAACAGUGAAGUUUCAAGUUUCAGAAACAGGAGGAGAGGGAGAGGAACAGGGAGGAGAUGUAGUGGAAAAAGCCACAGGUAGGUCACAGAAAAUACUUUUUUAAUGAACAAUUUUACAUAGAAUGAC
Polyodon spathula (Mississippi paddlefish) is the source of this 2390-nucleotide RNA transcript. It is a transcript of the gene named P2Y purinoceptor 4-like, with no coding region annotated. Lineage: Eukaryota; Metazoa; Chordata; Actinopteri; Acipenseriformes; Polyodontidae. The record is from RefSeq and is a predicted model, not a curated record. The transcript has 4 exons.